UACAAUGAAAUGAGCUGUAGGGGUAGUGAGAAAUCCAUAUAGAGGCCUAUAAGCAGGAGCUGGAAGGCUACUUACUGGGAUGUUUUACAUGAGAACUUAACUCCACUAUAUGAGCUGAAUGAAAUGACCCAACAGACUCCGAAAAUCUCAAAGACCUGGCUCUCAGUCCACUGAGACACCCAGCUGCUCCCUCAAUGGAUGUUUUGAACUCACAAGACAUGUGAAUUUGCCUUCAAACUUGGAAAUAUCCAUUCAGAGGUUGAUAUUCCAUCACCUACUUGGAAAAGGACUCCUAAAGCAGAAAGGGCUGAUUCAGAAGGAAUUUAGGAA
This 330-nucleotide long non-coding RNA is filed under the name Monodelphis domestica (gray short-tailed opossum). RNAcentral describes it as "lncRNA (ENSMODG00000045254.1)". Lineage: Eukaryota; Metazoa; Chordata; Mammalia; Didelphimorphia; Didelphidae. The record is from RNAcentral.